CUACGGGUCGCUGCAGUGGGGAAUAUUGCACAAUGGAGGAAACUCUGAUGCAGCAACGCCGCGUGGAGGAUGACACUUUUCGGAGCGUAAACUCCUUUUAUAUAGGAAGAAGAUGACGGUACUAUAUGAAUAAGCGCCGGCUAACUCCGUGCCAGCAGCCGCGGUAAUAGGGAGGGCGCAAGCGUUACUCGGAAUCACUGGGCGUAAAGAGCGUGUAGGCGGAUUAAAAAGUCAGAAGUGAAAUCCUAUAGCUUAACUAUAGAACUGCUUCUGAAACUCUUAAUCUAGAAUAUGGGAGAGGUAGAUGGAAUUUCUGGUGUGGGGGUAAAAUCCGUAGAGAUCAGAAGGAAUACCGAUUGCGAAGGCGAUCUACUAGAACAUUAUUGACGCUGAGACGCGAAAGCGUGGGGAGCAAACAGGAUUAGAUCCCUGGUAGUC
Molecule: ribosomal RNA, 438 nt
Filed under: uncultured bacterium
Lineage: Bacteria
Description: partial 16S ribosomal RNA
Rfam family: Bacterial small subunit ribosomal RNA
Source: RNAcentral